Molecule: long non-coding RNA, 245 nt
Organism: Polypterus senegalus (gray bichir)
Lineage: Eukaryota; Metazoa; Chordata; Cladistia; Polypteriformes; Polypteridae
Exons: 3
Source: RefSeq, a predicted model, not a curated record
UUUAUCAUCUUGUCGUGUCCUUCCUGCUGACGGAGACUCACUCAACUUCACUGUCACUGCUGAUUUCUCUUCUGAGGACCUGAGAAAGGAGCUGUUAUGCCUGAAAAAGAGUCUGGAGAAGAUCAGCCAGUGGGACAUCAUCACAUUGAGUCCACUAGGCUGUGAAGCUCCAAUCUUCACCCUACAGCCUGAACCUCAGAGCAGAGAGGAGUUUUUACAAUGGCACGAAGUAGAAAAUGGCCGAC